GCCAUCUUUGCUUGGCUUUUGUAGUUGUUUGCCUAACCUCUUGACUUUGCAAAAGUAUAACUUAGUCCUUUCAAUUUAAAAUUAAAAUGUAAUAGUGUAUAAUCGUAUCCAUAUUAUAUUAGUAGCCUAAGAUUUUUGUUGUUAGGUAGUUUACCUUCAGUUUUUUAGUUUUCUUUCACCAAAGAAUAUCGUUAUUGAAGAGGCUGUCUCCCAAACCAAGAAGCUGUUUUUCAACCAGUUUCCAGAGGCCAAAGAAAAAGAAACAUCGAGACGGUGAUAAAAGAUUGGCUAAGACCGUCAUGAAAUUGAAUUGUUAGCAAGUAGGAAGGAAGGAGAGAAACGACUGAGGAGGGAGAAACGACUGAGGAGGACGAAGACUGCAUCCCAUAAAUGGCUCAUGGACUCAAUCUUUAGAUAAUCUUUAUGUCUUUAAAAUUCAUUAUUAUUUAUAAGUGCAAAGAUCUAAUGUAAUAUUUUUAAAUACAUACAUGUUGGAGUAUAAUGCUGAAUAUUGAUUAAGGCCUACACAUUUGCUAAUGAGGUAAUUUUUCAAAUACCUAUGGAUAAACAUUAACAAAAUUAAAUAUUUUGUAAUGGAUGAUCAAUUUAACAGCAGUAUUACCUUGCUGACUAAAAUAGAAGAAAAUUCACAAAUAAUAAUUCUUUUACCAACAAAGGAGCUAGUAGACCUAAUAAUCCUGUGUUAAAUUGUGCAUUGUCUUUUGAUUUUGUCACUAAGGUAGGCCUAAGAUUUAUAGGCCUGCAUAAAAAAAACGAUAAAAUGCUGGCAUAAAGCCAUCUUUACAAACAGUUUCAAUAGAAAUUAGUUAAUUUAACAAUCAAUAUUGUUAUAUUUUAAAAAGUUAAUUAACCUCAAUUAAAAAUUGUGUAUCAAUCCGUAAAAUUGUCUGA
This is a long non-coding RNA of Macrosteles quadrilineatus (aster leafhopper), 912 nucleotides long. RefSeq lists it as uncharacterized. The transcript has 3 exons. NCBI's taxonomy places the organism in Eukaryota, Metazoa, Arthropoda, Insecta, Hemiptera, Cicadellidae. The record is from RefSeq and is a predicted model, not a curated record.